GAAAUGCAAUAAGUAAUGUGAAUUGCAGAAUUCCAUGAAUCAUCAAAUCUUUGAAUGCACAUUGCGCCCUCUGGUAUUCUGGGGGGCAUGCCUGUCCGAGUGUCAUUGACACAAAUCAAGCUUGGCUUGUGUGUUGGGCCUUUGUCCCCUCAAAAGGAUGUGCCCAAAACGCAGUGGCGGCGUUGUGGUUAUCUGACCAGCCAGAGUGUAUGGGGCUUUGUCAUGCACUCCAGGCACAGGACCAGCGCCUGUCAACCCUUUCUCAAAGAGAUAUCUUGGUUGACCUUGGAUCAGGUAGGGAUACCCACUGAACUUAA
Molecule: unclassified non-coding RNA, 317 nt
Filed under: uncultured Gymnoascus
Lineage: Eukaryota; Fungi; Ascomycota; Eurotiomycetes; Onygenales; Gymnoascaceae
Description: sequence contains ITS1
Rfam family: 5.8S ribosomal RNA (bases 1-105)
Source: RNAcentral